Small nucleolar RNA from Rattus norvegicus (Norway rat), 143 nucleotides. Ensembl annotates it as small nucleolar RNA SNORA48. NCBI's taxonomy places the organism in Eukaryota, Metazoa, Chordata, Mammalia, Rodentia, Muridae. The record is from Ensembl.
ACCCCCUGGACAUGGGCAAGGAGACACCAUGUUGGUGGUGUUGUUCCUAUAUCAGUCAGGGGCAGAGCAGAUGUAGGCCUUUGUUCAUCCUAGCUUGAUGCCUGGCUUGGUGGCCAAAGCUGUUUCAUGCCUAGGGCACAUGA